RNAcentral lists this ribosomal RNA (433 nucleotides) under uncultured bacterium. RNAcentral's name for it is "partial 16S ribosomal RNA". It matches the Rfam family "Bacterial small subunit ribosomal RNA", at positions 29 to 507 of the family's 1533-position model. The record is from RNAcentral.
AACGAACGCUGGCGGCAUGCCUAACACAUGCAAGUCGAACGAGACCUUCGGGUUUAGUGGCGCACGGGUGCGUUACGCGUGUGAACCUGCCCUUAGGUUCGGAAUAACUCCCCGUAAGAGGUGCUAAUACCGGAUAAUGUCUUCGCACCAAAGAUUUAUCGCCUUUGGAUGGGCCCGCGUUGGAUUAGCUAGUUGGUAGGGUAAAAGCCUACCAAGGCGACGAUCCAUAGCUGGUCUGAGAGGAUGAUCAGCCACACUGGGACUGAGACACGGCCCAGAAUCCUACGGGAGGCAGCAGUGGGGAAUAUUGGACAAUGGACGAAAGCAUGAAACAGCAAUGCCGCGUGAGUGAUGAAGGCAUUAGGGUUGUAAAGCUCUUUUACCCGGAAUGAUAAUGACAGUACCGGGAGAAUAAGCUCCGGCUAACUCCGUG